Molecule: ribosomal RNA, 366 nt
Filed under: uncultured eukaryote
Lineage: Eukaryota
Description: partial 18S ribosomal RNA
Rfam family: Eukaryotic small subunit ribosomal RNA
Source: RNAcentral
CAAUAGCGUAUAUUAACGUUGUUGCAGUUAAAAAGCUCGUAGUUGGAUUUCUGGAGGGAGCGUCGGCCCGUAUUUACGAGUGCGUGACGUCUCUGUCCAUCCUUGCGGGAAGGCACGGCAUUGAUUUGCUGUGUCGGAUCGCAUCAUUUACUGUGAAAAAAUUAGAGUGUUCAAAGCAGGCUUUCGCUUGAAUACAUUAGCAUGGAAUAAUAAGAUAGGACUUUGGUGCUAUUUUGUUGGUUGAGCCUAAAGUAAUGAUUAAUAGGGAUAGUUGGGGGCACCUGUAUUGCGUUGUCAGAGGUGAAAUUCUUGGAUUUACGCAAGACAAACAGCUGCGAAANCGNNNGCCAAGGAUGUUUUCAUNAA